Molecule: ribosomal RNA, 2046 nt
Filed under: Triticum aestivum (bread wheat)
Lineage: Eukaryota; Viridiplantae; Streptophyta; Magnoliopsida; Poales; Poaceae
Description: partial small subunit ribosomal RNA
Source: RNAcentral
AUGAGUAAACGUUCAGUUUCCACACGGGUCUCAUGGCCAGGCCAGACCACUUCUCCGGAUUCUAAGGGCCACCUUUUUGAAGCAGCACUCCUGGCUUGGACUCUGGUGCGUAUCAUAUUCAUACGUAGUACACAUGCGUACCUUCCUCUCGCUGUCGCCGGCAAGCAAAAAGGUUUCUCGAUCGGUAUGGAGUUGGGCAACAAAGACGUCCAAAUCCAAAUGGCCAGCCAGCUGAGCGAGCAGUCGUCCAGAGAAGACCUCCCGUCGCUGCUCAUCCAGGUUCCGUCGCGGACUAUCGCCGGCUUCGACUGCGUCGGCCGGGACGCCGUCACCCCCGCCGCCCUGAACGAGCAGAACAGCAAGGACACUGUCAUUAGCAUCCAGGCGCCGGCGACCCCACCACUAGUUGCCCCUGUGCGCGCGUACGACGACACGCAGAUACCCUACUCCCUUUCCCUCAGCAUGCCGGCGUCGCCGUCGGGGCUCCACUUCUCGCAGUUCAGGGCGGCGUCCGUGCGCCGCAACGAGGCGCACGCGGCGGCGGCGCCCUCCGACACCAAGCAGGUGGAGGUGCAGUCACCGCGGCUGCUGCAGCAGACGCGGUUCCACUCGCAGCCGAUCCUCCAUGCGUCCCAGAUCAACGACGGGGCGCGCAGGGCCGAAGGCACGCGCGACAAGAGGUUCGAUCCGUUCAAGACCUUCUCCGGCCGGCUUGAGCGGCAGCUCUCCAACCUGCGCGGCCGGCCGCUGGACCCCAUGGACCUCGGCUCCCACCAUUCCAAGAUCUCCGAGGAGACCGACCAGGUUCCGGGCACCGACCGCUACUUCGACGCCCUGGAAGGCCCCGAGCUCGACACCCUCAGGGCCACGGAGGUGGCGGUGCUGCCGAACGACGAGCAGUGGCCGUUCCUGCUGCGGUUCCCGAUCAGCGCCUUCGGGAUGGUCCUGGGCGUGAGCAGCCAGGCGAUCCUGUGGAAGACGCUGGCGACGGCGCCGCCGACGGUGUUCCUGCACGUGAGCCUCGCGGUGGCCCACGCGCUGUGGUACAUCUCGCUGGCGCUGAUGGGCCUGGUGUCCUGCAUCUACCUGCUCAAGAUCGUCUUCUACUUCGAGGCGGUCCGGCGCGAGUUCCACCACCCUAUACGCGCCAACUUCUUCUUCGCGCCAUGGAUCGCCUGCCUCUUCCUGGUGCAGGGCGCCCCGCGGGAGCUGGCCCAGGUGCACCACGGCGUCUGGUACAUGCUCAUGGCGCCCAUCUUCUGCCUGGAGCUCAAGAUCUACGGCCAGUGGAUGUCCGGGGGCCAGCGCCGGCUCUCCAAGGUGGCCAACCCGUCCAACCACCUCUCCAUCGUCGGCAACUUUGUCGGCGCGCUGCUGGGGGCCAAAAUGGGCAUCCGCGAGGGCCCCAUCUUCUUCUUCGCCGUCGGGCUCGCGCACUACAUUGUCCUGUUCGUCACGCUCUACCAGCGGCUCCCCACCAACGUCACGCUCCCCAAGGAGCUCCACCCGGUCUUCUUCCUCUUCGUCGCCGCCCCCAGCGUCGCCUCCAUGGCCUGGGCCAAGAUCAACGGCGAGUUCGACAACGGCGCCCGGAUUGCCUAUUUCAUUGCGCUCUUCCUCUACAUGUCACUGGCGGUGCGGAUCAACUUCUUCAGAGGGUUCCGGUUCUCGCUGGCGUGGUGGGCGUACACGUUCCCGAUGACCGGCGCGUCGAUCGCGACCAUAACGUACGCGACGGAGGUGACCAACGUGCUUACGCGGACGCUGUCCAUCGGCCUCUCGGGCAUUGCCACCGUCACGGUCGCCGGCCUGCUGGUGACCACCAUGUUCCACGCCUUCGUGCUCAGGGACCUCUUCCCCAACGACGUCUCCAUCGCCAUCACCCGGAGGAAGCCCAAGUUCAGCAAGAUCCUCGCGCACUUCCGCUCCUCCAGCUCCGACAUGAAGGAGCUCGUGCUCUCCGUCUCCAAGUCGCCCAACGCCGACUCCGAUUCCUCGGUCACGGAGACCGAUCCGUCCGUCUCCAAAGGCAAAGCCGAGCCGUAG